Non-coding RNA from Paralichthys olivaceus (Japanese flounder), 3668 nucleotides. The record is from RefSeq and is a predicted model, not a curated record. NCBI's taxonomy places the organism in Eukaryota, Metazoa, Chordata, Actinopteri, Pleuronectiformes, Paralichthyidae.
AUUCUGAGCUGUACCAUGAGCUCAACCACUCGUCCAAGUUCCACACCAUAGACAGGUAUAGCAGGGACGCAGCCAUGUCCACAUUCAAGUUUGAAUGUAGCCAGACACUCAGCAGAACCAUGGGCAUCCAAGUCAACAAAGGACAAGUCAACCCCAGAGGACCAGAGCUCCUGGGACAGCUUCAAGACCAUGACCCCCGAGCUGUCCAUCGUGCCUGGGGAGCAGAAGGACCGAAUGGAGCUGCACAAUAAGAACUGGGACUCCUCUUCUGCCAACACACCCGACUCGUCUGAGGGAGACUUCCAGACUGAAGUGUGAAGACGCACAGAUGUACACACACUUGAAAACAAACACUCUUAUUCCGAGAUAUGGUACAGAUGCACACAGGGACACUGAACCUCUGAGAUGCUAUACAUAAGUACAUGAUUCACACACACAUACACACACACACACACACACACACACACACACACACACUGCUCCCCGUCUCCUGCAACGUGCACUGUCGGAUCCCAAAACUGUUUUUGUUUACUUCUGCAGUGGACAGACAUGGAAAGAAGACUGUUCUAUACUAUAUUUUCGCAAAGACUAUUGAAAAGAAAGAACAGAGGCUUGACACGUCUGUGGUUGAGGAAAACAUUUUUAAACGAACUUCAGAAAAAAAACUGUGAAAAACCUAUUUCUGAGAAAAAUUGUCUUGAUUUUAUUCUGGAGAAAAAAAAAAGAAAAAUCUCUGUCAAUUGUUUGAUGAUUUGGGGGUAUAAAAAAAAAAAGAAGAAUAUUUCUGCACCGUUCGGUUCUUUUUAUAGCAAGGGGAAGAAAAUCUCACUGAGGUUUCUCACACUGGUAGCCCCCCUAGGCACCCUGCUUCGUUUAUUUCCUGUUCCCUUCUAAUGGGUGGAGACAGCAUUCAAUCUCCCAGUCUUUCCCUUUUUUUCUUUUUGUUUUCAUAUUUUUUGAUGGAUAGGGGAUGGGGGGCAGGUUAACGCUGCUCAUUGAUUUGCCAUCCAGUUCAACAAUCCCAUCCAUGCAUUCCUCUCACAUCCUCUUCGUCAACAUUGUACCCCCCCCUUCCUUAUUUGGUGUAUUUUCUAAAUAUGUCCUCCCCUAUGGUUUGAAACUUUUAAUGAAAAAAUAAUACGAUUGAAACAAAUAACUACCAACUGAGUUGUGUUCUAUGGUCUAACUUUUGAAGAAUUUAUUUUCAGACUGGUUUGUUUUUUUAAAUUAUUUUUCCCUAAUUUCCUGUGAGAAUAAACCCAUGUGGAACUUAAAAAAAUGAUUUAGGACACACGCAGCACAAAUAUAUGAGCUUGCUUUCUGGGGUAAUGUGCGCCGCAUGUUAUCCAGCCAUGAGGGAAAAGAAGGAUAGUGAUCGUCAUGCAGAUUCUCGCAUCUUCCUGCUUUUUUUUUCUCCCCCACUGCUCGCAGAUAAAGGCCUUUAAAGAUUGCAGCAUCUGAAUCCAUUUCAGCCAUCACCAAUCACAGUGAUGCCAGAAAAGAUGAUAUCACAGUCAUUUUCAGCAGGAAUUGAAUCUGUGCUGGCACUGCGCAGCACUUCUCAUACCUCAAAAACGUAUCGCUUACAGUGAAGUAUUGAUCCGUUUAGCGGUUACCUCUUCUUUCUCCAAGAUCGUAAAAGCAAGCACGACAUCCUUUGCUUUCGUCUCACACCUCCUUCGCUUUGCUCUUUCUUUGUUGCUCAUCCAGCCCACCUAGCGUUGCAUUACAUGGGAAGCAUGAAAUCUUGAUGUUAGCAGUGGAGCCUGUUGUACAAUACCUCGAUCACAUGGAUCCCUCUCUCUGUGGUUGUAUGUAGAGCUUGUGAGCACAGCAGCUGCAGAAAGAGAGAGCGGAAUAGGACGACCGAGAGGGAGGUGACAAACUGAAGGGGGGAGAAAACAUAACUGGUGGUGAUUCUUCUUGCUUGAUAUUCUACAUCCUCACUUCAGUCGCUACAAGAGGACAACCUGGUUCCUGCUGUCGCUGCAUUAGCACAUAAAGUCCUCCACACACUGAGAGAGAGUCAGAGUGCAGGAUGAAAACAGUAAAACACCUGGAGAUAAACAAAGUGCUGUACAAAUUUUAGGUAAAGGCAAAGAAAUAUUAAGUAAAGUGAUAAAUAGUAAAGGCACAGUUAAUUGAAAAGGCAUGAAUAAAAACAGAAAACAAAGUUAAAUGAAUGAAUGAUAUAAAUAUAAAUACUUAAUAUCAGAUCAACUAAAGCCAGACAAACAAAAAAACGUGUUUUUCAGGGUAGUGCCAACCUAUGUAUGAAUUUGACUCUGUUUUGCCCUGAUGCCUUAUUGGAAACAUGAUAAUGUUAAGCAAGACAGAAGCUGCAUACAAACAACUUUGAUGCAAACUUUGGACAGGAAGAGCUGAGAGAUGGAUUAAAUAAGUUAUGGUUUGUUUUUUCAACAAGAGGUUGGACUAUGUGUGUAAAACAGGAUGGGACAGUUAAUUUAGCAAGAUAUAUAGUAAUGAUAGGAAAAGUUGAUCAUCUGACAAUGGCCAAUACUUUAAAAAAAGAGGACAUUGUUCUGACAUACAGUUGGACCCAAAUGUCUUGAAUGGAUCAACACUUGAAUGGGAAAGCAGUGAUGGCGCCAUGAUGGUACCUCUGUACCUUUUCUUUCUUUGUUCAAAGCAGCCCCCAUUAAUCCUAGAGUCUGGAGAAAGACAUGAGACAGUUUAAGACCGUGUAAGAAUAAAAUAAGUGCAAGAAAACAUGUUCUCUAAGGAAAAAAAGAUCCAAAAAUAUAUAGCGGGAAAAGCUCGAGACAGGCAGAUUUGCAGAUGAAGACGUGGGGGUGCUCAGAACUGUAAUUAUCCGGGGAUGGUGAUUUGUCCUGACAUUUUCCGAUGCAGACCUCAAACCAUCUGUUUAAAGAUCCCUAAUGUGGUAGUAGUGCGGCGCAGCGCAGAUGGCGAGACAAGAGUGUAGCCCCUCUAACCUUUCAAGCUAAUCAGCUGACGGGCAAACCUACAGCUCACCUCCCCUCAGAGGACGAUACUGUAGGUUCGGCCCCAAGUUGCCAAGUUGUGGUCGCGUUCACUCGACCUUCUGCGAGGUUCUCAAACCAGCCGUACAGUGCAUCAGCUGCAUGGCCCCAGUCAAAGAAGUAGCAGAAGAAAACAGUCUCAGGUGAAAGAGAUGCAGUCUCUACACUGACAAAUUCUAAGGAAGGAAGGAAGUGUGAAUUAACCGCAGUAUUAUUUUGUUGCAUCAUGGAGAAUUUCCAUAUAUUCAUCUGUCCUCAUUAUGUUUUCAAGCUCAAUGAGGACUGGAUAUUAACCUUUCAUCUCCAACAACGGUAAGUGUGGUGCUGUUCGACUGAUGGAGACAGAAAUUCUUGUUUAAAUGUGCCGCUACAGCCAAGGACCACCUGGCAACUUAUUUUCGAUGAGAAACUGUGAUGGGAUUAACAUGUUGGUCGGAGUGUGUCAAUCUUGUUUUUAUUUUUAUUUUAGAGGCCAAACUCAGUAAUAAAUACAAAACACUGAGGUCAAUUUACAAGUGAAGUCCGUGUGGAAGGCAAAUUUAAGAACAUUCAGUGCUCACCUUCACCACCACUCUUCUGCCUCCGAUGCUUAGAUGUAAACCGACUUGCUCCAGCCAUCCACGACUCCAGUGAUUUAUUAUUGAAAAACCCUCCCUUUCCUUC